Molecule: ribosomal RNA, 459 nt
Filed under: uncultured bacterium
Lineage: Bacteria
Description: partial 16S ribosomal RNA
Rfam family: Bacterial small subunit ribosomal RNA
Source: RNAcentral
CCUACGGGAGGCAGCAGUGAGGAAUAUUGGUCAAUGGUCGGGAGACUGAACCAGCCAAGUCGCGUGAAGGAGGAAUGCACUGUGGAUUGUAAACCUCUUUUGUCAGGGAACAAAAGCGGGGACGUGUCCCGGGCUGAGUGUACCUGAAGAAAAAGCAUCGGCUAACUCCGUGCCAGCAGCCGCGGUAAUACGGAGGAUGCGAGCGUUAUCCGGAUUUAUUGGGUUUAAAGGGUGCGUAGGCGGUCUGUUAAGUCAGCGGUAAAAUGGCGGGGCUCAACCCCGUCCAGCCGUUGAAACUGGCAGACUCGAGUUGGAGAGAAGUAUGCGGAAUGCGCGGUGUAGCGGUGAAAUGCAUAGAUAUCGCGCAGAACUCCGAUUGCGAAGGCAGCGUACCGGCUCCAGACUGACGCUGAGGCACGAAAGCGUGGGUAUCGAACAGGAUUAGAUACCCUUGUAGUC